This 71-nucleotide transfer RNA is filed under the name Loxodonta africana (African savanna elephant). It matches the Rfam family "tRNA". Rfam says of the family: Transfer RNA (tRNA) molecules are approximately 80 nucleotides in length. Lineage: Eukaryota; Metazoa; Chordata; Mammalia; Proboscidea; Elephantidae. The record is from Rfam by way of RNAcentral.
GCAGUGGUUGUUCAGUAGUAGAACUCUUGCCUUCCAUGUGAGAGGUCCCGGUUCAAUUCCUGGCCAAGGCA